UGCCAGCCGCCGCGGUAAUACGGAGGGUGCGAGCGUUAAUCGGAAUUACUGGGCGUAAAGCGCACGCAGGCGGUUUGUUAAGCUAGAUGUGAAAGCCCCGGGCUCAACCUGGGAUGGUCAUUUAGAACUGGCAGACUAGAGUCUUGGAGAGGGGAGUGGAAUUCCAGGUGUAGCGGUGAAAUGCGUAGAUAUCAGGAGGAACACCGGUGACGAAAGCGGCUUUCUGGACAAACACUGACGCUGAGAUACGAAAGCGUGGGGAGCAAACAGGAUUAGGUA
RNAcentral lists this ribosomal RNA (279 nucleotides) under uncultured bacterium. Its description in RNAcentral is "partial 16S ribosomal RNA". It matches the Rfam family "Bacterial small subunit ribosomal RNA", at positions 506 to 784 of the family's 1533-position model. The record is from RNAcentral.